AAGUUCACGAGAAAUCCAUCUCUGGACAAUUAGGUGCAUGUACAUGCUUUUUGAUGUAUCUCUACGGGUGAUCGGCGUCGCUUCCAGAGAAAUCCAUCUCUGUACAAUUAGGUGCAUGUACCUGCCUUUUGAUGUAUCUCUAUGGGUCAUCAGUUUUUGUUCAAGCUCUCUCCUCUCUGUUCCCGUCUCUCUGUCUCUUUCGCUCAGGUAAUCUCUCUGUCUCUACGCUCUCUUCUCUCCUUUCCUCUCACUUUCUUCUUUGGUCAGAUCAGAUCGUCAAUUUUGAGGGUUGAUGCACGAGUGUACGGUGGAGCUGGGCUUCAUCAUCGCGUCGGCUUCUCUCCUUCAAAGUGCAAAGAAUGCUUUAAAAGCUAUUGUGAGUUUGUGUCCAAAUUAUGGUGGUUCUUUUUUAAUUAAUUGAGAGGGAACCGUAGUGUAAGAUAGAAUAGCAGAUCAUGAAAACCCAUAAAUAAACUUCUUCGAUUAAAUCAAUUUCUUUGAUUAUUUGAUAUUUUUCUUCGGUUUCUUUGAUUAUUUGAUAUUAUGUUCUUGCUAAUUUCCUGAGCUGGUGGAGCAUCCUUCGUGCAUCUUGCAAAUCUGAUGCUUUGAAUUCUUUCUUCUUUUCCUUUCCACGAUUGUGCUUUGAACGUACUUUGGCAGAUCUCAUGUACCGGCCUCUGAACAUGAAGAUCUGUUCAAUUGAAAGCCCCAAUUCAGAUUUGGGUCUUUGAACAUAAAUAUUUGAGGAUCAAAGGCGCGAUUCAUUGUGGUUCUAUAUCAUACCCAACUGAGUUCUAUUCAUACUUCCAUUAUCCUCGGUCGUUCAGUUUUGAAGAUACACCAGACUAUUCAUAUCUGAAAAGACUCUUUAGAGGUCUAUUUAUUCAAGAAGGGCUCAAAGUGCUGAAUAUUAUGGCUUCGAACAGCAACAUCGUCACUUUUGAUGAUUUCAUUGGCAGUGGAAAGGAAUUGUUUUCACCAUUCUUUAUUUGGAUUGCGAUCUUCUCGAGAAGAAGUUUAUUGUCUAAUUUGUAUUGGUCUGUUCUUUGUGUUGCUGCUGCUGUUUGUAGGAUUCGAUUGCAAAAGGUACUUUCACAGGGCUAUGAUGACAGUGCUUCGCCAAUUCAGAGUAGAACUGGCAGUAAAGCCUUGUAGGACUAUUGUUUUGUUGGGAUACAGGUAUCAUCAUUUGAUAUGAUUAAUUCUUUGUUAAUUGGAAUAUCUUUUUGUUGGCUAAUUUGUUCUUUCUGAUUAGGUGAAACCUCCUAAGUGAGAUGUACGUGAGUUGUGAACUUCAAAUUUGAUAACAUAUAAGUUAUGUUUCUGAUUAGUUGGUUCCUGUAAGUCAGUUAUGAACUUCAUUACUUCUGUGAUUGUCUCACAUCUUUUCAGUAAGCUCUUUUGGUUUGUUUUUCAUCUUUUUAGUAAGUUUUGGGGAGAUGGCAUAUAUGAUGGAUAUGGUUUAAAUUUGUUUUCCUCAUUCACAAUAUGAUGCUCAUGUGAAUAUAAUUGUAUCUUUGAAAUUCCCUUUAUUAAUGUUUCCAUUUUUCUUCAGGCAUAUGUACAACAGCUACAGAACAGUUGACCAAAGCUGACCCAACUUGAUCAAGAGAUCCUGUGAGCUCGCUAGCAGGUUUUGUUUGGAAUUAUCUGUUCCAUAAUAUUGCAGAUGAGUGGACGUAGUCUUGCAUUGUAUUAAUGUGCUUCCUUAAAUUAUAUGAUUUUCCAUCCAUGAGUGACCUUUUUUUCCUUGAUUUCUUUUGAGCGAAUGACGAGAUUGAAAAGCUGCAGAAGAAGACCAUGAUUGGAGUCUUGGCGAGGAUCAAACAUGGACUACUACACAUCAUGUAGCUUUACAUUGCUACCCUUUCUGUUUUCUAAUUGCACGCUGCUUUUUAACAUGUCAUAAUCUUAUGUGCAUUAUAUUUAUUUAAUCUUCCUUUAUAUCUAAGGUAUAA
This is a long non-coding RNA of Tripterygium wilfordii, 1958 nucleotides long. RefSeq lists it as uncharacterized. The transcript is spliced from 4 exons. Lineage: Eukaryota; Viridiplantae; Streptophyta; Magnoliopsida; Celastrales; Celastraceae. The record is from RefSeq and is a predicted model, not a curated record.